AUUGAACGCUGGCGGCAGGCCUAACACAUGCAAGUCGAACGGUAACAGGAAGAAGCUUGCUUCUUUGCUGACGAGUGGCGGACGGGUGAGUAAUGUCUGGGAAACUGCCUGAUGGAGGGGGAUAACUACUGGAAACGGUAGCUAAUACCGCAUAACGUCGCAAGACCAAAAAGGGGGACCUUCGGGCCUCUUGCCAUCGGAUGUGCCCAGAUGGGAUUAGCUAGUAGGUGGGGUAACGGCUCACCUAGGCGACGAUCCCUAGCUGGUCUGAGAGGAUGACCAGCCACACUGGAACUGAGACACGGUCCAGACUCCUACGGGAGGCAGCAGUGGGGAAUAUUGCACAAUGGGCGCAAGCCUGAUGCAGCCAUGCCGCGUGUAUGAAGAAGGCCUUCGGGUUGUAAAGUACUUUCAGCGGGGAGGAAGGGAGUAAAGUUAAUACCUUUGCUCAUUGACGUUACCCGCAGAAGGAGCACCGGCUAACUCCGU
RNAcentral lists this ribosomal RNA (489 nucleotides) under uncultured bacterium. Its description in RNAcentral is "partial 16S ribosomal RNA". It matches the Rfam family "Bacterial small subunit ribosomal RNA", at positions 30 to 506 of the family's 1533-position model. The record is from RNAcentral.